Molecule: ribosomal RNA, 441 nt
Filed under: uncultured bacterium
Lineage: Bacteria
Description: bacterial SSU rRNA
Rfam family: Bacterial small subunit ribosomal RNA
Source: RNAcentral
AACGCGAAGAACCUUACCUGGGUUUGAACUGCAAGAGACAGGUGCAGAGAUGCACCCUCCCUUCGGGGCUCUUGUGGAGGUGCUGCAUGGCUGUCGUCAGCUCGUGUCGUGAGAUGUUGGGUUAAGUCCCGCAACGAGCGCAACCCUUGCCAGUAGUUGCCAGCGGGUAAUGCCGGGAACUCUACUGGGACUGCCGGUGUUAAACCGGAGGAAGGUGGGGAUGACGUCAAGUCCUCAUGGCCCUUAUGUCCAGGGCUACACACGUGCAACAAUGGUCGGUACAAAGGGUUGCCAAGCCGUGAGGUGGAGCUAAUCUCAAAAAACCGAUCUCAGUUCGGAUUGUAGUCUGCAACUCGACUACAUGAAGUAGGAAUCGCUAGUAAUCGCGGAUCAGCACGCCGCGGUGAAUACGUUCCCGGGCCUUGUACACACCGCUCGCGA